Molecule: ribosomal RNA, 257 nt
Filed under: uncultured prokaryote
Description: partial 16S ribosomal RNA
Rfam family: Bacterial small subunit ribosomal RNA
Source: RNAcentral
UACGGAGGAUGCGGGCGUUAUCCGGAUUUAUUGGGUUUAAAGGGUGCGUAGGCGGCCUUGUAAGUCAGCGGUGAAAUUUUGCAGCUUAACUGUAAAAGUGCCGUUGAUACUGUGAGGCUAGGAUUUGGUUGCUGUGGGUGGAAUGUGUGGUGUAGCGGUGAAAUGCUUAGAGAUCACACAGAAUAUCGAUUGCGAAGGCAGCUCACAAAGCCAAGAUUGACGCUGAGGCACGAAAGUGCGGGGAUCAAACAGGAUUA